RNAcentral lists this ribosomal RNA (499 nucleotides) under uncultured bacterium. RNAcentral describes it as "partial 16S ribosomal RNA". The stretch from base 55 to 499 matches the Rfam family "Bacterial small subunit ribosomal RNA", at positions 35 to 507 of the family's 1533-position model. The record is from RNAcentral.
GGGGGGGGGGGGGGGGGGGGCUGGGAGAGGCGGGUCGGGCGGGGGGGUUCGGGGGCGGGCGGCGGGAGCACUUGGCGGCGGGCGGGGGAGGCACAGGUAAAGAGCCUGCCUCGUGGGCUGGGCCGACGAUUGGACGCGGUAGCUAAUGCCGGAUAACAGCGUUAACUGCAUGGUUGGUGGUGACUGGUUGGUUUUGCUAACACUAUGCGCUGGCUUUGCGGUGCAUUAGCUAGUUGGUGGGGUAAAGGCGUACCAAGGCGACGAGUCAUGUCCGACGUGAGAGGGGGAGCGGCCACAUGGGGACUGAGACACGGCCCAGACGCCUACGGGAGGCAGCAGUAGGGAAGCUUCCGCAAUGGGCGAAAGCCUGACGGAGCAACGCCGCGUGAGUGAAGAAGGAUUUCGGUUCGUAAAGCUCUGUUGUUAGGGAAGAACGAUUGUGUAGUAACUAUACACAGUAGAGACGGUACCUAACCAGAAAGCCACGGCUAACUACGUG